CACUCUCACGCAACUUCUCAGAAUUUCAAUCCAACCCCCAACAAAUAUACAUAUAUACAUCCACUCAUUGACUUUAAUCUUCAAACUCAUCUCUCUCUCUCUCCCUCUCUGAGUUUCUUUGGGUCUCUCAUUGAUUCAUCUUACCCUCCUGUGUAAUCGGAGAGAAAAUCUUCUUCGUUCCCCCUUUUAUUUUUCUUCCAUUCUUUUGUUUGUGAAAAUGAAUCCAGCAAGAGCGGCGCUCAUGGGUUCGCCAAUUGUCUGGUCUGUGUUCUUGAUGCUUCUGCAACUCACCAAUGGACAGGGCAUCGCCCCUUCUUCUGAGACUACUGCUCCAGGACCCUCCAGCAAUGGGGAGACGAUUGAUCAAGGGAUUGCUUACAUACUUAUGCUAUUGGCCCUGGCUCUCACUUACAUCUUUCACUGAUUUUUUUUUUUUUUUCCUUUUUAAAUUUUGAGUCUUGAAGUUUUGAUCGAUUGGAAUUGGAUUCUGUAUUGGGAUUUCUUUUCUGCUCUCAUCCAGUCUUUGUAGGAGAGGAAUUCUGAAUUCCAUUAACAUAUAUUCUUUUACAUGUAAAGAGAUUCAUUUUAUAUGUCAUGAAUUUUUAUUUGGAUCA
Molecule: long non-coding RNA, 614 nt
Organism: Macadamia integrifolia
Lineage: Eukaryota; Viridiplantae; Streptophyta; Magnoliopsida; Proteales; Proteaceae
Exons: 2
Source: RefSeq, a predicted model, not a curated record